This 500-nucleotide ribosomal RNA is filed under the name uncultured bacterium. RNAcentral describes it as "partial 16S ribosomal RNA". It matches the Rfam family "Bacterial small subunit ribosomal RNA", at positions 30 to 523 of the family's 1533-position model. The record is from RNAcentral.
AUUGAACGCUGGCGGCAGGCCUAACACAUGCAAGUCGAGCGGUUGACGGGAGCUUGCUCCCUGAUUCAGCGGCGGACGGGUGAGUAAUGCCUAGGAAUCUGCCUAUUAGUGGGGGACAACGUUUCGAAAGGAACGCUAAUACCGCAUACGUCCUACGGGAGAAAGCAGGGGACCUUCGGGCCUUGCGCUAAUAGAUGAGCCUAGGUCGGAUUAGCUUGUUGGUGAGGUAAUGGCUCACCAAGGCGACGAUCCGUAACUGGUCUGAGAGGAUGAUCAGUCACACUGGAACUGAGACACGGUCCAGACUCCUACGGGAGGCAGCAGUGGGGAAUAUUGGACAAUGGGCGAAAGCCUGAUCCAGCCAUGCCGCGUGUGUGAAGAAGGUCUUCGGAUUGUAAAGCACUUUAAGUUGGGAGGAAGGGUUGUAGAUUAAUACUCUGCAAUUUUGACGUUACCGACAGAAUAAGCACCGGCUAACUCUGUGCCAGCCGCCGCCGUAA